GCGCGCCAGAUGGCGGGGCUACCCCUCUCCUGACGCCCAGCGGCUCCUGAGCCGGUCACACACACUAAGCAGGUCAAGGUGUGUUCCUGCCGGACAAUGGUGCAGCUGUUCACUCUCCAGGAGCAGGGGGCGUGGCUUCUCAUCGGCUUGCUACAAGGGUUUCUGCUCGUUCAGGAAGUGCUGGCCCUUGGCCCUGGGUUCCUCUGCCGCUGUUCCCCCCACCCUCCAAGGGGUACUCAUCACCUAUCCAGGCGCAUCACGUUGCUCUGCAGACUCGGGGCGGGGAACUGGUGUAGAGAUGCUGACGCACUGUGAGGUGAGGCUGCUGUGAAUAACACUCUCUCAUCUCUGAUCCAGAGACCCAUGUCUUCUGUCACAUUCCCGAAACGUCUGUGCUCGUGGAAGGAGACCCCUCAAAACAACAGAAAGAAAACCAAAGAACCUCUUCUGUGCCUGGGCAGUCCUCAGCCACCUCACGAGGGGCUCAGGGAUUUCUCUCUUUCUGUGGCAGCCAAAUUCGUGAUGAAGCAAUACCCUCUGGCCAAGACAGAGACACUUUCAGAGGCACAAACAGUCAGCAGCUGGCUCAGAAGGACCCGGGGUAUUGGAUCUGGACACCGAAAUAGAGGCGUUGUCAUUAGGGAACCUGCCCUGUCACCCAGCUAGCAAGAGGCAGAGGUGGGUCUGUUUGCAGCAUCUGUGGUUGAAAUGCCACGAGAUGUGGUCUUCCCAGGCUCCAGGAAGUGCAAGAAGCCUGGCCAGGGAGUUCUGGAGAAACGAAACGCAUGCUGAAGUAGAUAGCAAGCCUGCAGCCAUUUCCCUGAGGGUUUCCAGGAGUUAAGGCUGAAGACUGACUCUUGAGUCUCAGAAAACCUGCUUCUUCACAGCCUGAUGUGGCAAACAAACCCACUUCUGGCCACUGCGUUGCCGUCUUCAACUUUUCUUGCCAUGGCUAACUUGGUGUGCGUUCCUGCCAGCCUGGUCCCCCAGUCCCUCUGUCCAUACCUGGGCGGCAUGUGUCCCCAGCUCAGCUGCUCCACACUUUGUCUAACUGCCUCUCGGCCGCCUGCUCUGCAUUCCUGCCCUGAGACGAGACCCUGUGUGGAUCUUGCCCCCGGUGAAUUCCGGGCAUGCAACUCAGGGCUUGGCAUAUACCUCUACUGGAAGAGCAUGUGUUGAAGGAAGUCAUGACUGGCUGCUGUGAAUGUCAUCACUUCGCAGGGUGAUUUAAACUUGUCUACAGCCUCCAUUUUUGGGGACGUGCUGUCAAGGGGCCAAUAGCCCCAUGACCCGAGGUUCUAGAUCUAGACCCCGGAUCUCUGCUGUUGGAUUUGCUGUUAAUGAAUGAAUAAAUGACCUGCCGUCCAUGAUCAGAGAAGCCCUGCUCUGCGUCUGCACUGAGCAGGGCGGGCACGGCCGAGAACACCGAGACGCUCCUGGGUCGUCCUCACACGGGAGAUCCAUGCUCACCGCAUGCCCCUUGGAGCUUGCUGUCAGAAUCAAUACGCUAGGGAUGGAUUUGCAAAGUCCUGUCACCGACCGUAUAAUGAGAACAAACCUUCAGAAAAUGAGCAUUCCUUUAGAAAAGUGGCACUCAGGAGAGAGAGAGAGAGCCGGGCCAGACAAGGACAGGGAGACCUGGGUGUUUAUCAUGCGACCAGAGUCGGCUGGGGAAAUCCCACAGGGCCCAGCGUUGUGGUGUAUCAUGUGAAUUUCAUGAGAGAGCGAAAAGAGCACCGACCUGGGAGUCCGAUGACCUGGCCAAGUCCUCAACCCUGCAAGCCUUAAUUUACUGAUGAGGGUCAUCGGUCCUUGGGGCCUCAUGGAUUUCGAGAUAAGAUUGCCUCAAACCUCCACUUGGACAGCUGGGAUGUCCGAAGUCCCCGCUGAGUUUAGGCAUUGCUCUGGGCCUCCACUCCCGGUUCUCUCCCCUUCUCCCUUCCGAGACUGCCGCCUCCCUCUCCCCAGACCUGGACCCCGAACUCAGCGUCUGGUUGCUCCCCUGUGCAUUCCCCUCUUGCAAGGAUCUGUAGGCCACGAGGUGGUGGGCAUGUGGGGUCCGCAAUUGAGUCCCUUUUCUGCCGGCCCCACUCUCAGAAGGACUGAGGCGGGAUCUGUGAACAGGGGCAGCUUCACACCAAUGCCAUUUUUACCUCUGCCCACCGCCCAUGCGACAGCUGAGACCCUGAAACUCCCAGGCGCCCUGCAGCUCCUCACGGCUCUUUCUGUAUUGCAUACUGCAUGGGGCACCGAGUCCUUAAUCAAUGUGCUCAUGUCUUCCAGAGAGUGAGGCUAAGCAGUCAGCCCCCAGACUGCAGGCCUAAAAGACACACCUGGUGCCCACCACCGUCUCGUGCAGAGCACGCUUCCCUUUUCCUCCUCUGACCACAGAGGCCAUGCAGGCCCCUCUGGCUUCCCCUUGUCCAAGGGGGAAUCUCCACUGGUUUUGGUGAUGGUUCUGUUCUCCCAACGUGCUAGAUGAAUCCCACGGCGGACGCCUCUCCAGGUCAAGCUGGGCUUCCACGGCAGAGGAACGAGUGACUCUCUGGCUCAGGCAUCAGCAAACCUGAUUCUCGAGCAAGUUCCAGAAUGGACCAGCUGUGUGACCUGAAGGCCAGUCUCUGACUUUCCUGAGCAUCAGUUUCCACUUAAAAUGGCAAUGAAGUCAUGAUUUCCAUUUCUUCCACAGCUUGUAUGAGGCUCAAAUGAGCAAACAUAUGUGAAAGAACACACUUUAUUUCACAAGCACUCUCCAUAUAAGGUGUUACAAAAACACGAAAUACACAGAGGGAGCUUAUCUCUAAAUUUUCAGAUUUGGGAUUCUCCCCUUCCUCCCCCCACCAAUCUCUGCCUGGAAUGGAGGUGUGUUGGAGAUGAGCUCAGUUUUUGCCAUUUUCAAUGAGGGAGACUUGGAAUAAAAUCUCAAAAUUGCUCACAUAAGAAGGAAACUGAAAACAUUUCUCUGUAGUUAAUGCUCAGUUAGAUUCUUAUCUUAAAGCAUUUAAAUGUGGUGCCUGAGUUGGGGUGGGUGUUUUGAAAUGUUUAAAUGACAAGCACUCGGCAUUGAGCAUCUAUGGGGUUUGACAUGGUGAGGAAGUCUGUCCAUUCUCAGCCAGGCUGUCUGUAUGUCUGUCCACUGGACAGUGUCGGUGCUGGCGGCAUCAAAGUUAGCCACUGCAGCCAAUCCAUGUGACUUAGUGGGGUAAUCGGCAGGAGGUUUGACUGAGUGUUUAGCUGAGGUGGGGCGCCCAUCCUGCAUCUCGUUGUUUUUCUCAUCUCAAAGGCAUGCUACUUGCUGCCCUGAGACUUCUACAAGUCCGUCCCCUGACUCUCAGCGCUGUGUGCAGCAUGGUGGUUCUGCCCCGUCUGUGCUGUUUCAGCAGUGACAUAUUCUGUUCUCUCUCCUCUGAGGAUAGGAAAUCGAGAUCUGGUUUAGACAUUACAACUGAGAAGUCCUUUUGAUGUCCAAGUAGAUAGUUAUAUAUAAUAUUAGUUAUCUCUUCCGUGUAGCGAAUGAUCUUUAAACUUAUUGGCUUACCACAACAAAUUUUCAGGAUCUCACAUUUCCUGGUGUGGCUUAGCUGGGUCCUCUGGCUCAGGGUUUGG
Long non-coding RNA from Mustela erminea (ermine), 3606 nucleotides. RefSeq lists it as uncharacterized. Lineage: Eukaryota; Metazoa; Chordata; Mammalia; Carnivora; Mustelidae. The record is from RefSeq and is a predicted model, not a curated record. The transcript is spliced from 4 exons.